This 871-nucleotide ribosomal RNA is filed under the name uncultured Chloroflexota bacterium. RNAcentral describes it as "bacterial SSU rRNA". It matches the Rfam family "Bacterial small subunit ribosomal RNA", at positions 512 to 1395 of the family's 1533-position model. The record is from RNAcentral. Lineage: Bacteria; Bacillati; Chloroflexota.
CAGCCGCGGUAAACGUAGGGGGCGAGCGUUAUCCGGAUUUACUGGGCGUAAAGCGCACGUAGGCGGCAUCGUAAGUUGGACGUGAAAGCUCCCGGCUCAACUGGGAGAGGUCGUUCAAAACUGUGGUGCUUGAGGUUGAUAGAGGAGAGUGGAAUUCCCGGUGUAGUGGUGGAAUGCGUAGAUAUCGGGAGGAACACCAGUGGCGAAGGCGGCUCUCUAGGUCACACCUGACGCUGAGGUGCGAAAGCGUGGGGAGCGAACGGGAUUAGAUACCCCGGUAGUCCACGCUGUAAACGAUGGAUACUAGGUGUGGGAGGUUAUUUACCCCUUCUGUGCCGUAGCUAACGCGUUAAGUAUCCCGCCUGGGGACUACGGCCGCAAGGUUAAAACUCAAGGGAAUUGACGGGGGCCCGCACAAGCAGCGGAGCGUGUGGUUUAAUUCGAUGAUACGCGAAGAACCUUACCUGGGCUUGACAUGGUGGUAGUAGUGAAGCGAAAGCGGAACGACCCUUCGGGGAGCCAUCACAGGUGCUGCAUGGCUGUCGUCAGCUCGUGUCGUGAGAUGUUGGGUUAAGUCCCGCAACGAGCGCAACCCUCGUCGCUAGUUAUAUGUGUCUAGUGAGACUGCCGGUAUCAAACCGGAGGAAGGUGGGGAUGACGUCAAGUCAGCAUGGUCUUUAUGUCCAGGGCUACACACACGCUACAAUGGCCGGUACAAUGGGUUGCCAUACCGCGAGGUGGAGCUAAUCCUCAAAGCCGGUCUCAGUUCGGAUUGCAGUCUGCAACUCGACUGCAUGAAGGUGGAGUUGCUAGUAACCGCGCGUCAGCAAUAGUGCGGUGAAUGCGUUCCCGGGCCUUGCACUCACCGCCC